RNAcentral lists this ribosomal RNA (207 nucleotides) under uncultured Kineosphaera sp. RNAcentral describes it as "partial 16S ribosomal RNA". It matches the Rfam family "Bacterial small subunit ribosomal RNA", at positions 291 to 512 of the family's 1533-position model. The record is from RNAcentral. Lineage: Bacteria; Bacillati; Actinomycetota; Actinomycetes; Micrococcales; Dermatophilaceae.
CCUGAGAGGGUGACCGGCCAAUUUGGGACUGAGAUACGGCCCAGAAUUCCUAGGGGAGGCAGCAGCUUGAGAAUCUUCCACAAUUGGACGAAAGUCUGAUGGAGCGACAUCGCGUGAGGGAUGAAGGCCUUCGGGUUGUAAACCUCGGAAAUUAUCGAAGAAUGAGUGACAGUAGAUAAUGUAAGCCUCGGCUAACUACGUGCCAGA